RNAcentral lists this ribosomal RNA (453 nucleotides) under Corynebacterium sp. HMSC070E08. RNAcentral describes it as "bacterial SSU rRNA". It matches the Rfam family "Bacterial small subunit ribosomal RNA", at positions 1 to 451 of the family's 1533-position model. The record is from RNAcentral. Lineage: Bacteria; Bacillati; Actinomycetota; Actinomycetes; Mycobacteriales; Corynebacteriaceae.
UUUUUUGUGGAGAGUUUGAUCCUGGCUCAGGACGAACGCUGGCGGCGUGCUUAACACAUGCAAGUCGAACGGAAAGGCCAGUGCUUGCACUGGUACUCGAGUGGCGAACGGGUGAGUAACACGUGGGUGAUCUGCCUUGCACUCUGGGAUAAGCUUGGGAAACUGGGUCUAAUACCGGAUAUGAGCCACUUUUAGUGUGGUGGUUGGAAAGUUUUUUCGGUGCAAGAUGAGCUCGCGGCCUAUCAGCUUGUUGGUGGGGUAAUGGCCUACCAAGGCGUCGACGGGUAGCCGGCCUGAGAGGGUGUACGGCCACAUUGGGACUGAGAUACGGCCCAGACUCCUACGGGAGGCAGCAGUGGGGAAUAUUGCACAAUGGGCGGAAGCCUGAUGCAGCGACGCCGCGUGGGGGAUGACGGCCUUCGGGUUGUAAACUCCUUUCGACAGGGACGAAGC